ACACCAACAGAAAAUCAGGACAUCAUUAAUUCUCUACACUUAUUGAUUUGGAACCUCCAUUGAAGCAGCAAGAAGCUCAGCACAGAAAUAAAACUGUCCUGGUGAGUCGCUCACAGCCUGUCCCAGUAACUGUUCCGGAGCGUCAGCCUGACGCAGCACCCCUGGAGGACCACGCCGUGCGGGCUGCGAGCCUCGCCCUUAACCAUGCCCAGCAGGACCAGAGCCGCCAGCACAAAUCAAGGUCCUGGCCAUUGAACAACUUCUGAGCCUGCACUUUAAGAAGGCGCUCUUGUUUUGAAUACGUAAUCUGUCCUGUUCUUUCAAAGUAGAUCUUGGUCAAGAAUGUCUCCAAAGCUGGAUUAAGCCAGUGUAAUUGAAUGGGAAUAUAGACAACCAGGACAGACUCAGAUUUUUUUUUAAUGUAUUGGCCCAGGAAGGCUAGAAAUCCUCCACUUGACCUAACAGAAGAUAAUUAGAAUUAAAAAUGGCACUAACUGAAA
Molecule: small RNA, 500 nt
Filed under: Pongo abelii (Sumatran orangutan)
Lineage: Eukaryota; Metazoa; Chordata; Mammalia; Primates; Hominidae
Description: processed transcript
Source: RNAcentral